This 717-nucleotide long non-coding RNA is filed under the name Phoenix dactylifera (date palm). Its description in RNAcentral is "long non-coding RNA (PDAC_LNC002468)". The record is from RNAcentral. Lineage: Eukaryota; Viridiplantae; Streptophyta; Magnoliopsida; Arecales; Arecaceae.
GCAAAUCCCAGCUCCUUCCGUCCGUGAUCGACUCCUGCCCGCGUCCCCACCUUCCGAUUUCAGGCCGUGGUCCAAGCAAGGCCACAUCCUUCCUCUUCAGCCCGCGUCCCCACCUUCCGAUUUCAGGCCGUGGUCCAAGCAAGGCCACAUCCUUCCUCUUCAGCCCGCGUCUCCGCCUUCCUUCCGCGAUCCGGAAACCCAGCAGCCUCCCCGUGAUCGAUGCAGCGUUCCAAAUCCUCCACGCCAUCAGCACGAUCGCUGCCAGCCGUCACCGCAUCCCCAGCUCCCAUCCUUCCAUCGAUCCAAAGAAAGAAAUCCACGUCGCCACCUUCCACUUCAACUCCCAGCUCGCCCGUCUCCAAAUCCUCCGCAAUCACCGGCGAUCCCAGCCCCUCUUCCAUGAUCAGGCGAUCCCGCACCGCAUCCCCAUCUUCCGGAUUCGAGAGCCCCUGCAUCGCGCCUCACAGCCGCUCUAGCAUCCCACCGAUCACGCCAUCAACACGUCCAGCCCCUUCUCCAUGAUCCCAGCAGCGCCCGAAGAAGGAACUUCGCGCCUCCCUUCCGCAUCAGGCGUCCGACGAUCUCGCGUCCGUGGCCAAAGAGGGAAGCCGUCCGAAGCACGCCCACUAUUUCCUUGUCCUUCCCAGCAUCCCGGAUGACCCAUGAUUCCAUUUCAAGUGCAUCCGCGGCUAUAAGAGGAGAAGGAGGAAGAGGGAG